GAUGAACGCUGGCGGCGUGCCUAAUACAUGCAAGUCGAGCGAACAGAUAAGGCGCUUGCUCCUUUGACGUUAGCGGCGGACGGGUGAGAAACAUGUGGAUAACCCACCUAUAAGACUGGGAUAACUUCGGGAAACCGGAGCUAAUACCGGAUAACAUCUUGAACCGCAUGGUUCAAUAGUGAAAGGCGGCUUUGCUGUCACUUAUAGAUGGAUCCGCGCCGUAUUAGCUAGUUGGUAAGGUAACGGCUUACCAAGGCAACGAUACGUAGCCGACCUGAGAGGGUGGUCGGCCACACGGGAGCUGAGACGCGGUCCAGACUCCUACGGGAGGCAGCAGUAGGGAAUCGUCCGCAGUGGGCGAGAGCCUGACGGAGCAACGCCGCGUGAGUGAUGACGGUCUUCGGAUCGUGAAACUCUGUUAUCAGUGAAGAACAAAUGUGUAAGUAACUGUGCACAUCUUGACGGUACCUGGUCAGGAAGCCACGGCUAACUACGUG
Molecule: ribosomal RNA, 497 nt
Filed under: uncultured bacterium
Lineage: Bacteria
Description: partial 16S ribosomal RNA
Rfam family: Bacterial small subunit ribosomal RNA
Source: RNAcentral